UGGUAGUCCACGCCGUAAACGAUGUCGACUUGGAGGUUGUUCCCUUGAGGAGUGGCUUCCGGAGCUAACGCGUUAAGUCGACCGCCUGGGGAGUACGGCCGCAAGGUUAAAACUCAAAUGAAUUGACGGGGGCCCGCACAAGCGGUGGAGCAUGUGGUUUAAUUCGAUGCAACGCGAAGAACCUUACCUACUCUUGACAUCCAGAGAACUUAGCAGAGAUGCUUUGGUGCCUUCGGGAACUCUGAGACAGGUGCUGCAUGGCUGUCGUCAGCUCGUGUUGUGAAAUGUUGGGUUAAGUCCCGCAACGAGCGCAACCCUUAUCCUUUGUUGCCAGCGGUUAGGCCGGGAACUCAAAGGAGACUGCCAGUGAUAAACUGGAGGAAGGUGGGGAUGACGUCAAGUCAUCAUGGCCCUUACGAGUAGGGCUACACACGUGCUACAAUGGCGCAUACGAAGAGAAGCGACCUCGCGAGAGCAAGCGGACCUCAUAAAGUGCGUCGUAGUCCGGAUUGGGGUCUGCAACUCGACUCCAUGAAGUCGGAAUCGCUAGUAAUCGUAGAUCAGAAUGCUACGGUGAAUACGUUCCCGGGCCUUGUACACACCGCCCGUCACACCAUGGGGAGUGGGUUGCAAAAGAAGUAGGUAGCUUAACCUUCGGGAGGGCGCUUACCACUUUGUGAUUCAUGACUGG
Molecule: ribosomal RNA, 691 nt
Filed under: uncultured Serratia sp.
Lineage: Bacteria; Pseudomonadati; Pseudomonadota; Gammaproteobacteria; Enterobacterales; Yersiniaceae
Description: bacterial SSU rRNA
Rfam family: Bacterial small subunit ribosomal RNA
Source: RNAcentral